AUUGAACGCUGGCGGCAGGCCUAACACAUGCAAGUCGAGCGGAUGAGAGGAGCUUGCUCUUUGAUUCAGCGGCGGACGGGUGAGUAAUGCCUAGGAAUCUGCCUGGUAGUGGGGACGAACGUUUACGUAAGGAACGCUAAUACCGCAUACGUCCUACGGGAGAAAGUGGGGAGUCUUCGGACCUCACGCUAUCAGAUGAGCCUAGGUCGGAUUAGCUAGUUGGUGAGGUAAUGGCUCACCAAGGCGACGAUCCGUAACUGGUCUGAGAGGAUGAUCAGUCACACUGGAACUGAGACACGGUCCAGACUCCUACGGGUGGCAG
This 322-nucleotide ribosomal RNA is filed under the name uncultured Pseudomonadota bacterium. RNAcentral's name for it is "bacterial SSU rRNA". It matches the Rfam family "Bacterial small subunit ribosomal RNA", at positions 30 to 351 of the family's 1533-position model. Lineage: Bacteria; Pseudomonadati; Pseudomonadota. The record is from RNAcentral.